Molecule: non-coding RNA, 279 nt
Organism: Acanthopagrus latus (yellowfin seabream)
Lineage: Eukaryota; Metazoa; Chordata; Actinopteri; Spariformes; Sparidae
Product: small Cajal body-specific RNA 6
Exons: 1
Source: RefSeq, a predicted model, not a curated record
GGUCAGUGAUGUGAUGUAAAAGGUCUGAACCUCAGGCCCCCCCCCUCCUGUCGGCCAUCUUUGAUCUCAGCAGCCCCUGCACUCUGCUCCCAUCAUGCUCUAGUAGUGCAGUGGUGGUCCCAGGAGCUGCUGACACAGACUGGAUGUGACAUCACAGAGUUUUUACAGAGAAACUACAGGCUCAGUGAUGAUGACUGACAUCCAACAGAACCAUUUGGCACCAAGCCUGAGGAUGUGGGGGCGGGGCUUGAGAGCUGAUCUUAAUCUUCUGCUGAGACC